CGACAGGAACACGUGGUCGAUCAGAGAGAGACUCGAGGUUUGUGAACGGAUGGGGAGGACCCUGAAAAGCACUGUGGAAUACAGGUUUCUAGUAACUUCAAAAUCACAUCAUUUGGACUGGCUUCUUUGGGAUGUCCGCUCUGCAUAUCUACUAGGGAAUUAAGAAAUAAUGGCUUCAGCAAGAAACAAGGCAGGAAAGUGCAGUGACAUGAGGACCACACAGGGAAGGAGCUGUCCCCAAAGCAGGGUCUUUGUGACUUGUACCUUGUGCAGACCUCCUACUUAUCCUGUGACUAAGAACACUGAACUUCCUGGGGUUACAGCCCCCAGGUCUCAGCCUCAUUUCAUCCAGCCCCUAUUCAAGAUGGAGUCACUCUGGUUCAAAUGCCUCUGACACUAGUAAGGAUCACAGGUGGCAUCAACAGGUUUGGAGCAAACCUGAGUGUCUCCCGGUUGGUCACAUCUCAACUGACGAAAUCCACGACCAGCAGAGAGCAGCCUCCUUGCCCCCUGUGCUCACUGAGUCAUCCAGCCCAUUUUGACUAAGAUUAUGUGAGUUGCUGGAGCAGAGGUUGGUUGAGGGAGCUCCCACUGUAGGUAAUCACAGUGUCUUGCACAAAAUAAAUAGAAAACACAAGAAUACACUCUUAUGCAUGAUCCUA
This 662-nucleotide long non-coding RNA is filed under the name Pan troglodytes (chimpanzee). RNAcentral's name for it is "lincRNA". Lineage: Eukaryota; Metazoa; Chordata; Mammalia; Primates; Hominidae. The record is from RNAcentral.